UGGGGAAUUGUUCACAAUGGGCGCAAGCCUGAUGACGCAACGCCGCGUGGGGGAUGAAGGUCUUCGGAUCGUAAACCCCUGUCGAAUGGGACGAAAGACUCGCGAGUGAAUACUUCGCGAGAGUGACGGUACCGUUAAAGGAAGCCACGGCUAACUCUGUGCCAGCAGCCGCGGUAAUACGAGUGUCCCGAGCGUUAUCCGGAAUCAUUGGGCGUAAAGGGUGUGUAGGUGGCAUUGUUAGUCACACGUUAAACCCUGGGGCUUAACCCCAGAUCUGCGUGUGAUACGGCAAAGCUAGAGGAUGGCAGGGAUGUAUGGAACUCAUGGAGUAGGGGUGAAAUCCGUUGAUAUCAUGGGGAACACCGAAAGCGAAGGCAGUACAUUGGGCCACUCCUGACACUGAAACACGAAAGCGUGGGUAGCGAAUGGGAUUAGAUACCCCCGUAGUCCCUGAGCGGGCUGGCAAGGCGCAU
Molecule: ribosomal RNA, 473 nt
Filed under: uncultured bacterium
Lineage: Bacteria
Description: bacterial SSU rRNA
Rfam family: Bacterial small subunit ribosomal RNA
Source: RNAcentral